This is a long non-coding RNA of Leguminivora glycinivorella, 1525 nucleotides long. RefSeq lists it as uncharacterized. The record is from RefSeq and is a predicted model, not a curated record. NCBI's taxonomy places the organism in Eukaryota, Metazoa, Arthropoda, Insecta, Lepidoptera, Tortricidae. The transcript has 2 exons.
GCAAACGCCUAAUCCGAAACGAACGUCGGCAAACUAACAAUUAAUCUCAACAAUUGAAAACCAAACAGGCAAAUAUCGCGGUGAAAUUAAUCGGAAAGGCAAAGUGUUUUUCGCAGACCUUCGUUAACAAAUGCUUUAAAAGCCAUUACUUAGAGAUAAUUCAUUGUCCCGAAUUUAAUGGGAAGUUACGGGAAUUGGAUCAGGAGCAGGAUUUGAGGACACAGAAAUGCGAUUCAAAAUAGCCCUGAAACUUCUUCUGAUACUAACGCUGGCCAGCGCACAAAACCAGGACUGCGUGCCGCGUCCCAAGUGUGUUCCAGCCGCACCCCCUGUACCCGUUAUACCCGUUAUACCAGUCAUACCCGUCUACUACUAUGUAUACUACCCUUAUAUUUAUGGAUAAAAACCUACCUCUAUAUUAGCAGUGGCGGUGUUAGGACAGGGCGCGGUAGGGCGACCGGCGCCCCUUCGCCUUUCUUUUUCGUAUAGGUUUAAAUAGCAGUUAGACCAGUUAGGAGGCGUCGCGUCGACAAACGCAUUAUUCGUGUGUUGCGAUUUUAUUUGAGGCGUUUAAAUCAGGCGUUCACUUUUCCGUGCAUAAUAUGCGCAUUGUUUAAGAAAAGAUUUUCUUAUACCAACCAAUUUGCAGAAAAUUCGUGUUUGUACGGGACACGGUAGACUCUUCCAUGGAAUGCUUCCUUUUUUGUAUCCGGCGAGUGAAGUGAAUCAGAAUUUUAGAACUAAACAGAACUUAAUCGUGUAACACUUUUUUGGCCCCAAAUAUAAAUGUAUGUGUACUGUGUACGCGAUUAAGUCCCGUUUAAUUCUAAAAUUAGAAGUAAAUCAGGUCGCCGUGAAGCUUGUGUCCAAAAUGCGUUACUUAUAUUUAAAUAAUGUCAUACAAUUAUAUUACACGUCCAUUAUACGGUUACCUUUGAUAUCCGACACCCUUGUGCUGGCUACGUACCACAAUGUCGAAAAUCAAAUGUCCGAAGUACGAAAUUCCGAAAGACAUGACAUCGAAACUCAAAAUUGCUAAUGUACGAAAUUCCUAAAGAUGCAUGUCCUACUACAGUUUUAAUCGACCGAUCUCAUUUUCGAAAUUCAAUAUUCCUUUGUCCAAAAUUCCUUACACCAAUACUUCGAAAGUCGAUACUUAUAUUUAGUUCUUAAAAUUGCACGACAGUAUAUUAUCUGCAUUUAUUUAUUUACAUGAAAAAACCCUUUUUUUAAACUGUUCUGUUCUGUGCUACUGCUACCCUAUUAUACUUCUCGCGUUGAAUUAGGUUGGUUUACGUAAUUAUGUAAAAAGAAUCAUGUUCAAACAUUAUUUUUUCUAAAUAACUAAAUAUAUGUACUUAACUUUUAAAACGAGUCUCCAUAAUACGUUUGUUACAAACCGAACUGACAUAGUGACUAUCAUUGAUGUAAGAUGUAUCAUCAUAUUUUAUCAUCAUGUAUGUAUCAUAUCUUAUAAAAGCUCAUUCAUACAUACUUUCCUAUCAUAAUAAAUCUAUUAUAAAGA